RNAcentral lists this long non-coding RNA (676 nucleotides) under Nicotiana benthamiana. RNAcentral describes it as "long non-coding RNA (NBEN_LNC005409)". The record is from RNAcentral. Lineage: Eukaryota; Viridiplantae; Streptophyta; Magnoliopsida; Solanales; Solanaceae.
CCAAACUCAGAAAACCCAAAGGAACUUAAUCGCUCUGUGAAAACAUGAUGAGGGAAGACACAGUGAAAGAAAAAUACAAGGAAACAUUAGGAGGAAACAUAGCAGAAGAAAACAUAUAUGAGUCAAAGUAGAAACACACAGGAGUCACAGUAGGACAAAUACAGUAGGAACACCACAAAGAAAUCAUAGUUGAACAAGUAAAUCAAGGAAACCCUAAGUCGGAAAAGAUGAACAGUUUUUGAAAGCAAAGUUUUGAAAAAGAUGUAGGAAGUCAUUUGAAAACCUUAAAAAUAGCACGGAUCUGAAGCAUAUCUAGAGAGAAAUAAGAAAACCUCGAAAUGACAUAGGGUUUCGGAGGAUCCCUAGAAAUGAGAAAGUCUUGGAAAAGGGACUGAUCCGAGUCGAACGAGUCAGAGAUGGCCUCAUAGGGCUAGGAUACGCCGGAUUUGAGCCAGGGAUGGCCACAGAACUCGAAUAGGAGGAGAUCUGAGUCAAGUUCUUCAAGGUCAGGCCUUGAAUCUUCAAAGAACAAGGGCAUGAAGGUGCAUGGAGGUGAGUACAGGCAACCCAGGGCUUGGGAGGCCAUUGAUUCUGGUGAAAUAAGGUGGAAACCGACGAGGUAGUACUAGGGUUUCGGAGAGGGUUAUAGAGAGAUUGAGAAGAUGAGAGAGUAUAG